GACGAACGCUGGCGGCGUGGAUUAGGCAUGCAAGUCGGACGGUAGGGCUUUAUCGUAAGAUAGAGUUUGAGAGUGGCGAACGGGUGAGUAACACGUAGGAAUCUACCCUUAAGACGGGGACAACCCAGGGAAACUUGGGCUAAUACCGGAUGAGAGUGCGAGAGAUUGCAUUUAAAAGGAUGGCGAAAGUUGUCGCUUAGGGAUGAGCCUGCGGUCUAUUAGUUAGUUGGUGAGGUAAGAGCUCACCAAGGCGAUGAUAGAUAGGCGGCCUUAACGGGUGGUCGCCCACACUGGGAUUGAGAUACGGCCCAGACUCCUACGGGAGGCAGCAGUCGAGAAUAGUCUACAAUGGCCGGAAGGCUGAUAGUGCGACGCCGCGUGAGUGAAGAAGGUCUUCGGAUCGUAAAACUCUGUUCUUGGUGACGAAGGAAGUGACGGUAACCAAGGAGGAAGCCCCGGCUAACUACGUG
Molecule: ribosomal RNA, 470 nt
Filed under: uncultured bacterium
Lineage: Bacteria
Description: bacterial SSU rRNA
Rfam family: Bacterial small subunit ribosomal RNA
Source: RNAcentral